RNAcentral lists this ribosomal RNA (481 nucleotides) under Zootoca vivipara (common lizard). RNAcentral describes it as "partial 16S ribosomal RNA". It matches the Rfam family "Bacterial large subunit ribosomal RNA", at positions 1862 to 2596 of the family's 2925-position model. The record is from RNAcentral. Lineage: Eukaryota; Metazoa; Chordata; Lepidosauria; Squamata; Lacertidae.
CCCAGUGACGCUUUUAAACGGCCGCGGUAUCCUAACCGUGCAAAGGUAGCAUAAUCAAUUGUCUCUUAAAUAGAGACUAGAAUGAAUGGCUAAAUGAGGACUAAUCUGUCUCUUACGGACCAACCAAUGAAAUUAAUCUUUCAGUACAAAAGCUGAAAUAAAAACAUAAGACGAGAAGACCCUGUGGAGCUUCAAACCAAACACACCCUGCAUGCUCCUCAGGUUUUUAGUUGGGGCGACUUCGGAGUACAAUAAAACCUCCAAAAUCUUUUAUCUUCAAGAUUAACAAACCAAAAACUUUAUUAGACCCAGCAAUGUAUAACAUUGUCUGACCACUGAACCAAGUUACCCCAGGGAUAACAGCGCCAUCCCCUCCUAGAGUCCAUAUCAACAAGGGGGUUUACGACCUCGAUGUUGGAUCAGGACACCCCAAUGGUGCAGCCGCCAUUAAAGGUUCGUUUGUUCAACGAUUAAUCAGUCC